Long non-coding RNA from Camponotus floridanus (Florida carpenter ant), 1024 nucleotides. RefSeq lists it as uncharacterized. The record is from RefSeq and is a predicted model, not a curated record. NCBI's taxonomy places the organism in Eukaryota, Metazoa, Arthropoda, Insecta, Hymenoptera, Formicidae. The transcript has 2 exons.
UUUUCACGUUUCCCCCGCUUGUUGAUCUUUUGCCACGUGAUCAUAGACUUUCCCUCUCCGCCAUAGUGCUACCAGUUUAGAAUAACCUGAAGCUCCGACAUCCGUACCAUUCGUGAAUUUAAUCUCGUAUAGUUCGCGUCCUUGUGUAUUGCCUUCGUAAGCCCCAUCGAAAGCGCCAUAAGCUUCAUCAUGGAAGUUGCCAAAGUGAACGAUUCGAACAGCAGCCUCGUCGAGCAAUCAAUGAAUAUAACGUCAGCAUCAAAAUCUGUCUUGGCGGAAAAAUCUGUACAAAGUAUCCAGACGAAGUCAGUCGUAGAGUCAUCGACCUCGAUUAAAUCCGUCACUUCCUCAUCCACCAGAUCACACCAAUCGAUGGAAUACGAGGAAACGAUCGAGUAUAACGAUUAGUGUAAUUAGAAAAUAACAUAAAUCCUCUCAAUAAAAAAAGACUUGACGCAGGGAAAAGCUAAAAACGCGAUAAGAUUCGGCUCAAUUUGAUUCAUCAUUUAAACAUUCAUCCUCGAACGCUACUUGACGCUAUUCCUCCUGCGAAAAAAAUAAUCGUAUCAUAUCAAAAAUAAUAAAUAUUACUCAAAAUCGUAAGAAAACGUCGAAGAAAAAUUAACGAUGGAAUUCCGUGACCUCUUCUCCAAUUUCGACCUCGAAGAUCUACGAUCGAUAAUCGAGCGGAAGAGUCAAAUCGACCGAUUCAGGCGUUCAGUUGCAGGGCUGUGCACCGAAAUAACAAGUCUGUCGCAUGCACGGUCUAUGCAGCAAUGCGACGAGAAGAAAUUCCACGAGUCAGAGGAGACAGACAAGAAGAAAUUGAAAAUGUGCCCGUGAAGGAACGUUCAAAAGCCUCUGGCUCUCAUCCAAUCGAUGUGGUUCGCCGCCAAUUCAACUUUUUCUUCUUUCUUUCAAAUUUUUUUUUCCUAAUCGACUCAUCGCUGUCGAUCCUCGAAUAGAUCGCUUGACAUGUGUGACUACUCAUUUAUCUUUGUAUAAUGAAGUUUUUAAGACAUUA